UUGGAGGGCAAGUCUGGUGCCAGCAGCCGCGGUAAUUCCAGCUCCAAUAGCGUAUAUUAAAGUUGUUGCAGUUAAAAAGCUCGUAGUUGAAUUUCGGGAUCAAGGGAUCGGUCAUGCCUUGGUAUGUACUGGUCUUAUUGGUUCUCACCUUCUAAAGAACCAUGAUGUCAUUCAUUUGAUGUUAUGGGGAAUUAGGACUGUUACCUUGAAAAAAUUAGAGUGUUUAAAGCAAGCUUACGCUUGAAUACAUUAGCAUGGAAUAAUGAAAUAGGACAUCAGAUUCUAUUUUGUUGGUUUCUAGGAUCGAUGUAAUGAUUAAUAGGGAUAGUUGGGGGCAUUAGUAUUCAAUUGUCAGAGGUGAAAUUCUUGGAUUUAUUGAAGACUAACUACUGCGAAAGCAUUUGCCAAGGAUGUUUUCAUUAAUCAAGAACGAAAGUUAGGGGAUCGAAGACGAUCAGAUACCGUCGUAGUCUUAACCAUAAACUAUGCCGACUAGGGAUCGGAUGAUGUUAAUUUUUUAAUGACUCAUUCGGCGCCUUACGGGAAAC
RNAcentral lists this ribosomal RNA (548 nucleotides) under Glomus sp. VeGloC. RNAcentral describes it as "SSU rRNA". It matches the Rfam family "Eukaryotic small subunit ribosomal RNA", at positions 548 to 1098 of the family's 1831-position model. RNAcentral also lists the same sequence under 2 other names. Lineage: Eukaryota; Fungi; Glomeromycota; Glomeromycetes; Glomerales; Glomeraceae. The record is from RNAcentral.